AUGAACAUCUUCAAACAAUGCAGUUACUCAUUACUCACAUUACGUAUUUCGAUAAAUUCACAUAAUUGCUCCUCAAUGAAGUUCAUAUCAUUGAUUCCUGACAACAUUCAUUCUCUCAAGACUAAUCACCGUUCGAAAGGCCGUGCGCAUGGAUGUCUGCGAAAACUGGUCUCAUCAUCUGGGCCUACCGGAAUACCUACAUUGUCUUUGACUCACAGUCCGUCUGUCUCCUGUCAUUGUGGCAAGUUUUUAAUUUUUUGAAAGAGCCCUGGACAGGAGGUAAACGGCAAACUCUCAACAUCAAUUAUCUACCUAAUUUUAUGGAAUAUCAUAUUUGUGAUUGAAGCUCUCGCUAAGUAUAGUGCAAUUUGCAUACCUAAUGUGGAUUUCACUUUCAAUAACCUCAUUAGAAGCUCAUUGACGACUCAUUGAGUGACGCUCAUUAGAAGUGGUAGUGCAAUAAAAUGGUGAUGGCUGUAGUGCGCGGACAUCUCUCCUGGGAACAAACUAUUUACGAAGAAUGCUGAAUUUUAUGCUGAAGAUAAUCUAUUCCAUCAUCUAACUCGGGAGGAACCGAAGCAAAUAGGUGAAUUAUUUAUUUAUGAAUUUUGUAUUGUUUGUUUGUUUUUUUGUUGUUUGUUUUAUGUAUGAAUUUUGUUUUAUGAUUUUUGUAUUGUUUUUUUUUUGAUUAGUAUCUUGCAUUUGUAAACAAAUUUAGACCUACAGAUAUAUUGUUCUUGUGUUACGGCUUGAUACGUAAUUUGUAAAUAAUUAUAGUUAAAAAAACCCUUAAAUACGGGAUAGAUGCUGAAAGAAAAUUUGCUUAAAGCUUAAUGCCUCUAAUUGGUAAAGUGAUUAGUCGUUGGCAUAAAAUUUCAACAGUGUCGGUGUGAGUAUACUUCAGACUUUGCUAUGACUUCUCAUGAUAAAUGAAAUAGUAGAGUCUUAACUACCAAAAAGGUGGAAGAAUCUGCUAGAUUAAGAUUUUUUUGUGGUAUCAAUGCAAUUGUAUCUCGAGGGAGUGGUUCAAAACUCAAUUGAAGAAUUAACAAGUUCACUUUUCAUGAGAAUUAAUUGACAAUAAAAAGUAGGGCAGUUGCACAGGUAGAGUAAUUCUGAGAAAUCAUAAAAUUAAGUUUUUUAAAGUACAAUUUAUGUAUUAAAUUUCUGUAAGGUCUCUUGUGGAGCAACGCACCGAAGGGUCUAUCAUUCUCAUCAAUUAUGAAAAUGGGGUACCCAUAGGAGCACUGCUCCGCAAGGGACCUCCUCUUUUUAUGCUUAAAUCAGGAUUUACUUUUACCUUUUUUUACUUACUUUAAAAAAAGGUUUUUUUUACAUAAAAAAAGGAAGUAAUUUUUAAUUUUUUUUUUACGUAAAAGUUCAUCAAUUUACAUUUUUUUAAAUGUAAAAUUUACACCACAGUUGACGCCUUCUUGCCAAUUUUACAUAAAAAAGACAUAAAUUCAUAUAAAUUUCAGUUUUUU
This 1484-nucleotide long non-coding RNA is filed under the name Bemisia tabaci. Its description in RNAcentral is "lncRNA ENSASIAIIG003611". The record is from RNAcentral. Lineage: Eukaryota; Metazoa; Arthropoda; Insecta; Hemiptera; Aleyrodidae.